RNAcentral lists this ribosomal RNA (475 nucleotides) under Neotrimmatostroma excentricum. RNAcentral's name for it is "eukaryotic LSU rRNA". The stretch from base 154 to 307 matches the Rfam family "5.8S ribosomal RNA". Lineage: Eukaryota; Fungi; Ascomycota; Dothideomycetes; Mycosphaerellales; Teratosphaeriaceae. The record is from RNAcentral.
AUCAUUACCGAGUGAGCGCCUCCGGGCGCGACCUCCAACCCCAUGUUGUCCAACCAUGUUGCCUCGGGGGUGACCCGGUCUUUUUGGCUGCGUCCCCCCGGUGGACCCCUCAACUCUGCAUCUUUGCGUCGGAGUCAAUGAUAAAUCAAUCAAAACUUUCAACAACGGAUCUCUUGGUUCUGGCAUCGAUGAAGAACGCAGCGAAAUGCGAUAAGUAAUGUGAAUUGCAGAAUUCAGUGAAUCAUCGAAUCUUUGAACGCACAUUGCGCCCCUUGGUAUUCCGAGGGGCAUGCCUGUUCGAGCGUCAUUUCACCACUCAAGCCUCGCUUGGUAUUGGGCGCCGCGGUCUGCCGCGCGCCCCAAUGUCUUCGGCUCAGCCUAACGUCCUCGAAGCGAUUUGAUUACACAAUCCCGCUAGGAGCACGGAGGGCGCGACGCCGCUAAACACCCCAUCUCAGGUUGACCUCGGAUCAGG